Molecule: non-coding RNA, 27 nt
Filed under: Bombyx mori (domestic silkworm)
Lineage: Eukaryota; Metazoa; Arthropoda; Insecta; Lepidoptera; Bombycidae
Source: RNAcentral
UACCUUCCAUUUUCGUAGUGCGGGUCC